CCUUAGGCAAAUCCGGGAUCACUUACGCCGAGCACCGAGACGAGUCCUAUGAGGACGAAGUGACUGACACCACGCUUCCAGGAAAAGCCACUAAGCUUCAGCUUAAGAAAAACCGUACCGCAAACCGACACAGGUAGGCAGGGUGAGAAUCCCAAGGCGCUUGAGAGAACUCGGGUGAAGGAACUAGGCAAAAUGGCACCGUAACUUCGGGAGAAGGUGCGCCCUUUGGUGUGGUCACGUGCGUGACUGAGCAUCGAAGGGUCGCAGUAACCUGGCCGCUGCGACUGUUUAUCAAAAACACAGCACUCUGCGAACACGAAAGUGGACGUAUAGGGUGUGACGCCUGCCCGGUGCUGGAAGGUUAAUUGAUGGGGUCAGCCGCAAGGCGAAGCUCUUGAUCGAAGCCCCAGUAAACGGCGGCCGUAACGAUAACGGUCCUAAGGUAGCGAAAUUCCUUGUCGGGUAAGUUCCGACCUGCACGAAUGGCGUAACGACAGCGGCGCUGUCUCCACCCGAGACUCAGUGAAAUUGAAAUCGCUGUGAAGAUGCAGCGUUCCCGCGGCAAGACGGAAAGACCCCGUGAACCCUUACUAUAGCUUUACACUGAACGUUGAGUUCUUCUGUGUAGGAUAGGUGGGAGGCUAUGAAACCAGGACGCUAGUUCUGGUGGAGCCAUCCUUGAAAUACCACCCUGAAGUGCUUGACGUUCUAACCUAGGCCCGUAAUCCGGGUCAGGGACCGUGUAUGGUGGGUAGUUUGACUGGGGCGGUCUCCUCCCAAAGAGUAACGGAGGAGCACGAAGGUACGCUCAGCGCGGUCGGACAUCGCGCACUGUGUGCAAAGGCAUAAGCGUGCUUGACUGCGAGAUCGACGGAUCAAGCAGGUACGAAAGUAGGUCUUAGUGAUCCGGUGGUUCUGUAUGGAAGGGCCAUCGCUCAACGGAUAAAAGGUACUCCGGGGAUAACAGGCUGAUACCGCCCAAGAGUUCAUAUCGACGGCGGUGUUUGGCACCUCGGUGUCGGCUCAUCACAUCCUGGGGCUGUAGCCGGUCCCAAGGGUAUGGCUGUUCGCCAUUUAAAGUGGUACGCGAGCUGGGUUCAGAACGUCGUGAGACAGUUCGGUCCCUAUCUGUCGUGGGCGUUGGAGAUUUGAGGGGGGCUGCUCCUAGUACGAGAGGACCGGAGUGGACGUUCCGCUGGUGUUCGGGUUGUCAUGCCCAUGGCAUUGCCCGGUAGCUACGAACGGAAGUGAUAACCGCUGAAAGCAUCUAAGCGGGAAGCUCCCCAAGAUGAGAUAUCCCGAGAGCUUGACUCUCCUAAAGGCACCAUCAAGACUAGGUGGUUGAUAGGUCAGGUGUGGAAGCGCAGCAAUGCGUUGAGCUAACUGAUACUAAUGAGCCGUGAGGCUUGAUC
Molecule: ribosomal RNA, 1412 nt
Filed under: metagenome
Description: bacterial LSU rRNA
Rfam family: Bacterial large subunit ribosomal RNA
Source: RNAcentral